Molecule: long non-coding RNA, 3571 nt
Organism: Lagopus leucura (white-tailed ptarmigan)
Lineage: Eukaryota; Metazoa; Chordata; Aves; Galliformes; Phasianidae
Exons: 4
Source: RefSeq, a predicted model, not a curated record
AGCCUCUUUCAGCCUUGCAAUUUAAGACCUUAAAUGCCAUAUGCUCACAGCUUUCCUAUUCCCUUUUUUUAAUGUGGGGAAGGGGAGUUCCAUAAUGGGUUUUGUGGCAGUAUGGAUGUAUUUUGCACUGACGCGUUCUUGAUUAAACACAAAGCAUCACCUUUCUCAGAAUUCUUGCUCCCACACACUCCCAAGUGUUUUCCUGGGAACACUACAAAAGCACCUUGUCUUUACUCCUUUGUCAGCCUGUAAUGUAAGAUCUCUCUUAAUUUGCUGUUCUUUACUCUUUCUCUUCCACCGUAGCACUGCGUUGGCUGAAUGUUGAUCAUUGUGGUGGAUCCCUUAUUCGUGUUUAACUUACUGCUGGCUACUCUGUCAGAACUGUUUCCUGCAGGGCCUCCAGCAAUGAAAUCUAUGGUGCCAUCCAGCUGAAUAUGUGCCUCUCCUGGACUAAGAUGCGUGAGCCAAGUUGACUUCAGAUAUCCUUUCUUCAUUACCUCCUUACAGAUUUCAGCUGAGGAAUAUAAGGAUAUGCAAGUCAGUUAAACUCCUUAGGAUCAGUCUGGAGAGUAAUGAUGGGACUUCUUUUUUUCUUCAAUUUCUAAAUCAACUUAGUUUUCUAUCUCCUUGGAGUAGAUUAAAGCACAUUUUUAAGCAAUUCCCAAAUACCUGCAAUAGGUAACAAUGCAAAGAUGAGUGAAAAAGCAUAAGAAAUGAAGAAAAUAUUCAAAGUCUAAAAAUAAAAGAAUAUACAUAUUGUCCAGGUUGGCUAAGUGAUCAAGCAAAGUCACAUACUUUCAGAGAAUGCUUUUUUGCGAGCCAGUCUGAAGAAACAGACUCUAGAGAGACCUGAUGUUUGUAUUUGACUCUGUAAAUGAUGCUUCUCAAGAGAUCUCAUUCUAUCCCCUGUGACCUACUCAUGUUGAGACGGAUGCACUCCCCAAGGAAGCCAUCUUAUAAAUAUAUACUUUUUAUCACUCCCUGAUCCUUUCAGGUUCUUCUGUGCUGUUUCUGCUAAAAGAGGAUGUUGCUUUUUAAAUGCCCUUCAGUCUCCGACUUCUCAGUCUUCAUUUUCAGUAUACGCUUCCUUCUCUGAAUUUCUAGUUCAAGACUGUGUAUUGUUUGUAUAAUUCUCUGGAGAAGGUAACUCAGAUACUGCUCAGUUUUACCUUUAAAUAGGAAGACAAGUUUUUCUCAUACUUCCAUCCUAAUUUUCUCCAGUCAUGAAUGAACUACAGACAAUUUUGUCUUCCACAGUCAACCACAGAGAAACAAGAACUGAUGCUUACCAGAAAGACUGCCAUAAAGGAAAGCCAAGAAAAUACCAAAGAAACUGCAAUUGUGGAAGUGCUGACAGUGUGAUACUUAGAGCAGAGCAGACAGUUUCUCCCGGGAAGCUGUUUUCCUGCCCCCCAUGAUCAUUUCCUUCAGCAGGUGAGGAGCUCGUAUAGGUCUUCUGCUCUCCCCUCAGAUCUCUUUGAGAGCUGUUGUAGCUCUCUGCUUCUUGACCUCCGCUGAUCCUCUUCAAAGUGUUUCUCCAAGAUGUAGUUUGUCAACAGACAGAGAAAUCAAAGAAGCAAGGGUUUGCCUUGUUUCUCAUCCAGGUAAGCAAGCUCUCUUCUGAUUUAGCUGAGCAUGCAUUGCAGUGCUUAUCUGACUGCCAGUGCAUUUGUGAGUUCUGAAAAAAGUGAGUCUCAUUUUCCAUAUUGCAUCAGCAAAUGAUAAAGCACCCAAAUGCUAUGCAGACAGGAUGACCUCAGAGCGUUAGUAAGUUAGAUGAAGAGUUGACAGCAGAGGACAACUUUUAAAACAUAUGCAUUUUUAGGUACUGUUUGUUGCUCUGUGUGACACGUGGGAUGUGCAGAUCAACCCUUGUUGCCUUGGUCCCCUACAACCCAGAUCUCGUAGUCUUCCUCCACUCCAGGGAGGCCAUCUGUGGAGACCUCUUCUCAACUGUCCUACAACCAUUCAAGCAUGAGACUGGGACACGCCAAAGUUCAACUGAGCUCCAGGAAUUGCUGAGGAAAAAAAGAAGCAUAUGACCACCAGUGAAAUCCAAAGAGCCAAAGAGAAUAACUAGGCUUUUAUGCAUAAAUGCUGGAUAGAACCAAGCUCUCUCACAUGGGUAAGAAUGAUGGUUGGGCUCAAUGUUCUUGAAGUUCUUUUCCAACCCAGAUGAUUCUAGGGCUUAUGCAAUUUGUGAUGAGCCAAGCAAAGGCCUUUCUCUCAGUCAACACUGUGUAAAAUGGCUUGAGACCGUUUUCUUCCUGAGCUGGGACUCCUUAGGUGACUUAGGUGACCAAGCACUACUAAAGGGAUAGAAAGCAGCCUGCUCCAUGCCUUGACUGUUAUAGUAUAGCAAAUAUUACGUAUUUUUGUGAGAGCAAUGAAAAGUGCAUGAGUUUGCAAAAGGUUUAUCUAUGUUUUAUAGCAGAAAAAAAAAAGAGAGUAAAACUACAUUGUUUUACUCUUUCAUGCUUCCUUUCUGCUUUUAGAUCUUGUUGCCUGUGAAGUAAAGCAGGAGGUUCUUUAGUUUCUUCAAAUGUCUCAGGGAAAAUGUAGCAGUACAUUUAUGUAUUUACAAAAUGGCAUUAAGCACAUUAUAAAUUCUAUCAAUCAAACUGAAUAUUGCCAAAUGGGAUAUUAUGUUUGUUAAUGAAGCAUGUUUCCCAUUCACACUCCCUAAUCGAGCAGGAAACAGAGGCUACAGCACCUUUUCUGUAAUUCCCUGCAGCCAUAGUCUUGUUUCCCAGAACUAACUGCUCUGUGGGCAUUCCAUCUCUGAAUCACUCCAUCUUAUUUCCAGUACAAUAGGAUUUUCAGCAGUGAUAAUUAUGCUUUGAAAAUGCUAAGUGACAAGCUCAUAGCUGGUAUAAAGUGAUUCAAAUGAACCUAUGCUAGUUUCAUGUCAUAGCCACUGUGUGCAUGUAGUAGAAAAGCAAAAGCUUUAAUCCCUGUGAAUGUCUCUUUUUAAUUAGAAACUUUACUAGGGAAAAGGCAUGACUUCUUUUAUUUCUUUUCUAUUUUUUUUUAUCCUCAAGAAAAAAGAUGUUGGACAAGGAUGAUCCUUUGUAAUCAGAAAGUCCAGUUUGAUCUUACUAUAUGUAGGAAUAUUUUGGGAGUGGAUAGUCUUGCAGAUCUCAGUAGUUUUGAGAAACUAUAACUUGGAAGCAAAAUAAUGUGAAAGCAUGUAAAUUGUGUACCAGGUAAGAGAAAACCAACUUCUGAUUUGUAAAAAAAAAAAAGGACAGUAAAAACCUGAGAAUUGGCUGCACCAUUAACACAAAGGAUUUAUGUUAUGUAAAUCUAUUUCCAUGCGAGGCUUUAAAUGUUAUACUGCUCUAAACUAGCUGAAACUAAACUUAGUCCUCUAAAUUAGGUGAGGAUUGGCUUGUCCUCAGACAGCCUUGUGACAGAAGGAAUGCAUUUCCAAUCAUUAUGGUAAUCUGCUACAUAAAUUGAAAAUUAAACUUCACGCCUUUCUCUAUCCCUGAAACAAAUACAGCAAUCAUUUACCUUGUCAUUGACAUUCUAGCAGUUACAAUUUGAUUUAAAUGCUGAAUUAGCAAUA